Molecule: long non-coding RNA, 383 nt
Organism: Passer domesticus (house sparrow)
Lineage: Eukaryota; Metazoa; Chordata; Aves; Passeriformes; Passeridae
Exons: 3
Source: RefSeq, a predicted model, not a curated record
AUCUCAAUGCACUGAACUAGUUAUUCCAACAAAUUAUUUGUAUUGUUCUUCAGGACAAGGCAGGCUCUGUAGCUGCUCUUGUGAAGACUCAUAGGUUGGGAGGGGUCUGCUCCUUGCUUCUGUUGCUGUGAGACUUCACGGCACAGCUGAAAGGAGUUAUCAGCGACCAUUCAUGGGUCCUGGUGCCAGUGGUAGUUUUUUCCCCAGGAUUUAGCAACCUAAAGCACAAUCCCUAGCCUCUGUUCAAGAGCCAGGAAUAGUGGAAAUGCAACCUUCCAGGAGGCAAAAGGGUUCCAAGAACUGGAAUUGCUUGGCUUCUUACAUCACUGCCAAUCAGAUGGGCUGCCCUUCACACUGCAGCACUUGCAGCACCAAAUAUCCUG